ACAUCACAUUGAUAUGAGAUAAUUGGACUUCAUUGCUCUCAUAAUAUGUUCACAAGAUGCAACUUACAAGCAUCCACAAGAGAACUCUACAAAAGUUCCCGAAGCACUUAGAACAACUACCGGCUAAUCCAGCAUGCGCUGCCUCUCUUUUCUAUGGGUCGCACUCGUGUGCCUCUGCAAUUCUAUAUACAUACAGACAACGAUGUCCACCUUUUAUAGGCAGUCCUGCAUGCUGAUUCAAGCCUCAAAGUCACUACAACCGUUCACAUGGUCUGCACCAUGACCAAGCUCCACGCCACCAAGCCAAAAAUAGUUGUGUGAACCUCUCCUUGCCAAUUGCCACAUCCCGGUCAAAAUUUGAUGGCGCCACCAGCCAUCCAAGCUAGUCUUCCUUCUUUUUCUAAUCGUCACUUGACCAAACCAAGUUCACCAUGCAACAUGCAACUCAGUUCUCUAGCCCACCAAACAUCUCGCAUGACAUCCAUGACCGAUAGGACCUCAGUUUCUCCCUGAACUUAGUCCCGAAACUUCAGUUCCUCCUUGAACCUAGUUCCAGUCCGUCAUCGACCACGUUCUGCCUCAAGCUAACACCUACACAUGAACAAACAAGCGACAAGUACGAGCCCAAGUCCAAGACUUGACUCAAGUCAAUCCGCACAACACCUCACACGAGCAUGUCAUGCAACAAUUCCAAAUCACCUGCUAUCACAACCAUAUAUAGACAACACAUGCAUAUCAAAUUAUGCCAUAAUUCAAAUUACUUUGCAAUGCCAAUUUCAUAUCAAGCCAAUUUUUCAUUACAUGAUCUCACAACAAGUGAUUUAGCAAACUGUUGGAGAUGCUCUAACCCUAUGCUCUAAGUAUGAUUAUGAGAUAGGUUGGUCCAAGUCCAAGUGAUGGAGCUAGAUAGCAUUCAAGUGAUUGAGAUGGCCAAAACAAUGUUGUUCAAGUGCUCCAACUUGAAAAAAAAAGAAAGAGAAAAACAAAAUUCUACGGAGAUGAAGUCAAAGGUAUCAAUAGAGAUUUUAUUUUGCCAAUUAAGAUGCAAAAGAGUAUGUGGUUGGAUUUAUGAUCGAUAGUUAUACUAUUAAGAGAGGGUGAUCUCAUGGUUAAUACAGUUAUCGAGUGCUACUAGGUGAUUUAACUCCAUGCAUUUACAUUAGACAUAGUGAGUGUUAACAUCCUUUGAAAAAAACAAUUUAGAAAAUACUAACUCACGUGCACAAGUAUUAAAAAUACUUUGGAGCUAGCACUUUUUGCACAAGGGAUAAAGGAAAGAAUUGAAGGGUUUACUGUCUAGCAUCGGACGCUGAAGAUGUUUGCAUCGAACACUGGGACUUAGUGUCUGAUGGCUAACCCUAAGGCAGCAGUGGCUCGCCCAGCAUAGCA
Molecule: long non-coding RNA, 1389 nt
Filed under: Sorghum bicolor (sorghum)
Lineage: Eukaryota; Viridiplantae; Streptophyta; Magnoliopsida; Poales; Poaceae
Description: long non-coding RNA (SBIC_LNC009996)
Source: RNAcentral